UGGGGAAUAUUGGACAAUGGGGGAAACCCUGAUCCAGCCAUGCCGCGUGAAUGAUGAAGGCCUUAGGGUUGUAAAGUUCUUUUGCCAGGGAAGAUGAUGACGGUACCUGGAGAAUAAGCACCGGCUAACUUCGUGCCAGCAGCCGCGGUAAUACGAAGGGUGCUAGCGUUGUUCGGAAUCACUGGGCGUAAAGCGCGCGUAGGCGGCUUUUCAAGUCAGGGGUGAAAUCCCGGGGCUCAACCCUGGAAUUGCCUUUGAAACUGGAAAGCUGGAGUACUGGAGGGGAUAGCGGAAUUCCUAAUGUAGAGGUGAAAUUCGUAGAUAUUAGGAGGAACACCGGUGGCGAAGGCGGCUAUCUGGACAGUAACUGACGCUCUGGCGCGAAAGCGUGGGGAUCAAACAGGAUUAGAUACCCCCGUAGUCC
RNAcentral lists this ribosomal RNA (424 nucleotides) under uncultured bacterium. RNAcentral describes it as "bacterial SSU rRNA". It matches the Rfam family "Bacterial small subunit ribosomal RNA", at positions 355 to 796 of the family's 1533-position model. The record is from RNAcentral.